Non-coding RNA from Caretta caretta (loggerhead turtle), 5109 nucleotides. The record is from RefSeq and is a predicted model, not a curated record. Lineage: Eukaryota; Metazoa; Chordata; Testudines; Cheloniidae.
GUCUCCAAUAGGAGGCGUGGGGGAGCUCGGGGCCCCGCCCAGAGUCUGAUCAGCUGAUGGCUGGCAAUGUCUGUUGACAGCAGCAGCCUCCGCGGCAGGACUGGGUAUGUGAAUCCAAAUGGAGCACUCUGAAGGAGGAGACCAAAACCAGCAGCAGCAGCCUUGGGGGAAGCUGAUCCGGUUAGGUGCUGAUGAAGCAGAGCCCCAUGUCUUACUGCUGAAAAGAGAAUGGACAAUUGGGCGGAAGAAAGGUUGUGACUUGUCCUUUCCUGGCAACAAACUGGUGUCUGGAGAUCACUGUAAGAUUACAGUAGAUGAAGAAUCUGGACAAGUAUCAUUGGAGGAUACCAGCACUAAUGGAACAGUAAUUAAUAAACUGAAAGUGGUUAAGAAGCAGACAUGCCCUUUGCAGACUGGGGAUGUGAUCUAUGUUGUUUACAGGAAGAAUGAGCCAGAAAACAAUGUUGCUUAUCUCUAUGAAUCCUUCAAUGCAAAACAAGAUGUAACUCAAGAACCAGUAGAAGCUAAUGUAGAAAAUACGUGCCAUCUGACCAAAGAUACCUCACAUAUAGGAAGAAGUGAUGAUGGAACCCAAAUUACCUCAUCACUGCCAGCCACUCAGUCUUGCUAUGAGGAACCACAGCCAUCUACUUCUACAUCUAACCUCUUUAAUGCUUCUUCUACCUCUCUCAUCGAGCGGGUAUCUGCUGAGCAGGAUAAUCCUUCAACAUCUGAACCUAGGUGUCCUGGAGCAUCACAUGAAGAACAAGGACAGCUGUAUGCAAAUAGUGAAACUUCCACUAUCACUUCAAGUAUCAUUGAUAAAGAGAGAAAUGAAAGUUCUACAUCAGAGCCUCAAAGGGAAGAGGAGGAGGACUUGGAGCCUGCAAAGAAGAAAAUAAAAGGAGAUGAGAAUGCUAGUCCAUCUCUUCAGAUGACAGCUCCAAGUCAAUGUAUAAUUAAAGCUGGAUUUGAAGGCGCAAAAACAACAAAUGUAAAACCAGACAAAAUGGAAGAAACACUCACUUGCAUUAUCUGCCAGGAAUUGCUGCAUGACUGUGUCAGCUUACAGCCCUGCAUGCACACCUUCUGUGCUGCCUGUUACUCGGGGUGGAUGGAACGGUCUUCUCUCUGUCCAACUUGCCGUUGUCCAGUUGAACGUAUCUGUAAGAACCAUAUACUGAAUAACUUGGUUGAAGCCUAUUUAAUCCAGCAUCCAGAUAAGUGUCGUAAUGAAGAGGAUGUACGUAGUAUGGAUGCUAGAAACAAAAUCACUCAAGACAUGCUGCAGCCUAAGGUGCGAAGGUCAUUUUCUGAUGAAGAAGGAAGUUCUGAGGAUCUGCUGGAACUGUCGGAUGUAGAUAGUGAAUCCUCAGAUAUCAGUCAGCCUUAUAUAGUGUGCAGACAGUGCCCAGGAUAUCGGCGACACUCCAUUCAGCCACUUCCUUGCCCAGGCCAAGAGGGGGAAGCAGGAGGAUUGCAAGCACUGGGAGAUGCACCAUCGACGUCUGCCGACUUUCCUGCAACUGUCCAGGAGUAUGUCUGUCCUUCUCAAGGAAGUCAUGUAAUAUGCACGUGCUGUUUUCAGCCAAUGCCAGACCGAAGAGCAGAGCAUGAACAGAAUCCCAAUAUUGCCCCUCAGCAAUGCACAGUUUGUCUACAGCCGUUCUGUCAUUUGUAUUGGGGCUGCACUCGGAUGGCAUGUUUUGGCUGCUUGGCACCAUUCUGUGAAAUAAAUCUUGGUGACAAGUGUUUAGAUGGAAUCCUAAACAACAACCAUUAUGAGUCGGAUAUUCUAAAGGAUUACCUGGCAUCCAGGGGUUUUACAUGGAAAAACAUGUUAAAUGAAAGUCUCUUAGCUCUUCAAAGAGAAGUUUUUAUGCUGUCAGAUUACAGAAUUACUGGGAACACAGUGCUUUGUUAUUGUUGUGGCCUCCGCAGCUUCCGAGAGCUUGCCUACCAGUAUAGGCAGAAUAUUCCUGCUGCUGAAUUGCCAGUGACUGUCACAUCACGUCCUGAUUGUUACUGGGGGCGCAAUUGCCGGACUCAGGUUAAAGCACACCAUGCUAUCAUUAGCUGUACAACUUUGGACAAGCUUCUUCUAGUUCCAGAAACCCAUGAAACAAAACAGUCCUGACACACCACUGUUGCAUCAUCCAUCGCCUUCUGCAUGAGGACCCAUCGCCUUCUGCUAACUGGUGUGGGUUUGAGACCAGAUUCUUAUUAAAUAAGAGGGCUGAGAGCCUCAGGCCUACUACUCCAUCUCCUGCAAACCUCUACACGCUCAACUCUCAACUUGUGCCUUAAAUACAUUUUGGGGCACUGAACCCAUCAGGGAGAACCCUGUGACAAGAACAGACAAGUGCUUGACAGAAAUUCAAUCACAUUUGUGAACAAACACGUUUCAAGAACUGAACUUUCUGAAAUUGAAGCUGUCUGAAUAUUUGUAGUCUGUAGAAAGGGGAUGAAAGCCUGAAAUACUGAUCAUAUAGGAAAUAUUAUCAGGGGAUUUUCAUUAUUCCCUCACAGCAGGGAGUCAAUAACUUUUUCAUCAGGUACUCUGGUGUGACCUUUUUAAUUUGUAGAGUUUAACAGUUAUAUAUGAGUAAGUGAGAACCUCUUGAAAGAAAAUCUGACAAGCAUUGCAUUCCAUCCUCAUUAUUACAGUGUUACUAUUUCACUAUACUCAAAUCAAGUAAUAGCAGCCAUACAUUGGAGGACCUAAGAAUAAUCAGUGAGGAGUGUAUUUGCACUAAAUGUGUCUGAAAAUAAGAGAAACAUUUAUUAAAAUGGAAAUGCUCUGUACCAGUAACUUAAUAUCAAAGGAGGAAACUCAACACAUGUUCAGACUUGUCCACUUCUAUCUUGUCAUUAGCAUUGCAGUUGGGAUGGAAAUCUAUUAAAGUUCACUUUCACAAAACAAGAAGGUGAUCUGGUAUAUGUUCAUCAGAAUUGUUUUUUUGUUAAUUUUUCCCCCUAUUCAUUAAACAAACAACAGCUUCAGCUUACAGCCUCAGAUCAGAACAGUGCUUUGCAGGAAUGCUAUACAGGAAAGCAUUUUUUCUUUUAGUUUAGUAGUAUUGAUGUGUUUUUACCAUUAGAAUUAGAUAUCACAAACAUUUGCACAAAUAUUUACAAAUCAGACUCAAAUUUGGGAUAGUAAUUGCUUAUGAACAAGCGUCUGCUUUUAAUAACUUUAGCAAUUUUCUAUCAAACUAAACCAUUAUUGACAUAGAGCAGACAGUAAGACAAGUUGGUGCAAUUUUUUUAAUGUAUUUUUUGGUGUGAUAUCAUAUGUUAGCUAGGCAUGUGUAGUUUUAUCUUGCAGCUGUGCUCUAGCAUGUGCACAUUGGUAAAAGCGUAGAAAGGCUGCCACUUCAACAGAAUAUAACAGAUUUACAAGAAAGAACAAAUGUUACCUAUGAAAAGGUCCACUGCAGAUGAACUUUAGCAAUAUGGAGAAAUUCUUUUGAUGUGGGGGAGAUUUUAAGGGGGACACUGGUAUCUCUAACAUGUUGAGUAUGUAGACUUAAUUUUUCACUCCUCUAUUUUUUCCUUAAUUAUGUUCAGAACAUUUCCUGAGAUCAUAAAAAUGUGAUGUAGUCAUAAAUAUUUCCUAGUCGUCUGGCAACUAAUGUUCACGUGCUUGAUUUGGACCAGCUUUUCAUAAGUAUCAUACCCAGGAGAGCAAAAUAGAAUGGGAGGAAAGCGUACAAAGUUACCUCUGUAUAUAUCGUGUUUUAGGUAUGCCUUAUUUUGCAAGCAAGGUUUAUACUCUAUGCUAUGUGUUAUCGUGCAGCACGGGGUGGUGUAGCACAUUGUAUCUGUUAGUUAAUUAAAAAAAUACAAUACUGCACAUGUUAAUAUAAAUGCUAAUUAAAAAUAAUGGAUUUCUGUUCAUAUUUUUAUUUUAAAAGUAGCUGCAGCAAUGAUGGAUCUGUUGGUAAUAUCCAUAAUGCUGUUAAAAGUACACUUGGGUGUGGACUUCUCUUCCUAAUCUCUGGGCAUUUCCUCCUGUGAGUAGGGUUGAAAUCAGAUCUGGAAUAAUACUUGAAACUUGUUAACAAAACGUUGUUUCUACCUUUUACUAUUACUAACAAUGUUCUAUUGCAUCUUUAUUCAUAUUUUAUGUUUAGAAAGUUGAUUUUUUUAAUGGUUAUUAUAUCUUCUCAGGACAGCCAUUCCCAGCUGUUUGGUCUCAAUUUCAACUCUGGCUGUGCAUGUAAGCAAAUUGCAUGUAUUUGUGGAAAGAGACCCUUUGCACAUUACAUGUAGAAAUGUGCUUUGCAUUCUCACUCACUACUUUCCAUGCCCCACAUUGGCUUUUAGCAUAGACUUGUCACUAUGCUAAUGUUCAAGUCCCUAAUGUGCUGAAUUUUUUGUGGAUUAAGAAUAACAUCUACAACCCUAUGUACAACUUCUCUUGCACCUGCACAAGCUGUUGGGACGUAUUAUGUGACAUCUUAAAAAUCUGCAACAAUCUCAAAUACUUGACAUCCAAACUACCUGUAUAGUAGAGGUUCCUUAUAUACCUUUUAUGUACCCCUCUCUUCCCCCCCCCACCCAUAGAGAAUAAAUAUGGCUUUCUAUGCAUAGGGGGUUGAAGUAGUGCAAUGGAAUGAGAAGUUUUUUGUGAUUAUAUUGUACUUGGAAGAGCUGAGAGAUUAACUUGCAAAUGGGGAGGGUGAAUAAAUCCUGAUCUUUAUAUGCUCUUAAGUAACUAAGAGCAUCUGUCAUGGGUAUUACAUACUCUUAUACAUUAGUCCUUUUAAAAUGUAUGGUUGCCAGGUGAUAUUUAGAUAAUGUGAUAACUGUAUAAACUAUACUUGGUGUAAUUGUUUAAAUACUGUAAAGGUGCACCAUAUUUUUAACCUAUCUAAAGCACACCCCCACCCUCUUCAUAAGAGACAUUUGGAAGCAGAGCAUGGAACCUUGUAGAAUCGAUGUUGUGAAAACAAGGGUGAUUAUGAUAGGGUUUAAUGUAGUGGUGAAUAAGAUACAGUCUCCCUCUAUGAGAAAGUUCUUUUAUAAAGAAGGUGGAGUGCAGUUCUUCCAAUUCUUUUUGUGAUUUCCUGGACUAAAAAGUUAUUAAAAAAAUUACCCAUUUAA